RNAcentral lists this ribosomal RNA (253 nucleotides) under uncultured bacterium. RNAcentral's name for it is "partial 16S ribosomal RNA". It matches the Rfam family "Bacterial small subunit ribosomal RNA", at positions 524 to 776 of the family's 1533-position model. The record is from RNAcentral.
UACGAAGGGGGCUAGCGUUGCUCGGAAUCACUGGGCGUAAAGCGCACGUAGGCGGACUCUUAAGUCAGAGGUGAAAUCCUGGAGCUCAACUCCAGAACUGCCUUUGAUACUGAGGAUCUUGAGUACGGGAGAGGUGAGUGGAACUGCGAGUGUAGAGGUGAAAUUCGUAGAUAUUCGCAAGAACACCAGUGGCGAAGGCGGCUCACUGGCCCGUUACUGACGCUGAGGCACGAAAGCGUGGGGAGCAAACAGG